GACGAACGCUGGCGGCGUGCUUAACACAUGCAAGUCGAACGGAAAGGCCCUGCUUUUGUGGGGUGCUCGAGUGGCGAACGGGUGAGUAACACGUGAGUAACCUGCCCUUGACUUUGGGAUAACUUCAGGAAACUGGGGCUAAUACCGGAUAGGAGCUCCUGCUGCAUGGUGGGGGUUGGAAAGUUUCGGCGGUUGGGGAUGGACUCGCGGCUUAUCAGCUUGUUGGUGGGGUAGUGGCUUACCAAGGCUUUGACGGGUAGCCGGCCUGAGAGGGUGACCGGCCACAUUGGGACUGAGAUACGGCCCAGACUCCUACGGGAGGCAGCAGUGGGGAAUAUUGGACAAUGGGCGGUAGCCUGAUGCAGCAACGCCGCGUGCGGGAUGACGGCCUUCGGGUUGUAAACCGCUUUCGCCUGUGACGAAGCGUGAGUGACGGUAAUGGGUAAAGAAGCACCGGCUAACUACAUG
RNAcentral lists this ribosomal RNA (468 nucleotides) under uncultured bacterium. RNAcentral describes it as "partial 16S ribosomal RNA". It matches the Rfam family "Bacterial small subunit ribosomal RNA", at positions 28 to 507 of the family's 1533-position model. The record is from RNAcentral.